Molecule: ribosomal RNA, 373 nt
Filed under: uncultured organism
Description: partial 16S ribosomal RNA
Rfam family: Bacterial small subunit ribosomal RNA
Source: RNAcentral
GUAGGUGGCAAGCGUUGUCCGGAAUUAUUGGGCGUAAAGCGCGCGCAGGCGGUUCUUUAAGUCUGAUGUGAAAGCCCACGGCUCAACCGUGGAGGGUCAUUGGAAACUGGAGAACUUGAGUACAGAAGAGGAAAGCGGUAUUCCACGUGUAGCGGUGAAAUGCGUAGAGAUGUGGAGGAACACCAGUGGCGAAGGCGGCUUUCUGGUCUGUAACUGACGCUGAGGCGCGAAAGCGUGGGGAGCAAACAGGGAUUAGAUACCCUGGUAGUCCACGCCGUAAACGAUGAGUGCUAAGUGUUAGGGGGGUUUCCGCCCCCUUAGUGCUGCAGCUAACGCAUUAAGCACUCCGCCUGGGGAUACGGCCGCAAGGCUG